GAUGAAGAACGUAGCGAAAUGCGAUACGUAAUGUGAAUUGCAGAAUUCAGUGAAUCAUCGAAUCUUUGAACGCACAUUGCGCCCGCCAGUAUUCUGGCGGGCAUGCCUGUUCGAGCGCCAUUUCAACCAUCAAGCCCCCCGGCUUGUGUUGGGGACCUGCGGCUGCCGCAGGCCCUGAAAAGCAGUGGCGGGCUCGCUGUCACACCGAGCGUAGUAGAUCUCAUCUCGCUCAGGGCGUGCUGCGGGUUCCGGCCGUUAAACCACCUUCAUAACCCAAGGUUGACCUCGGAUCAGGUAGGAAGACCCGCUGAACUUAAGCAUAUCAAUAAGCGGAGGA
Molecule: unclassified non-coding RNA, 337 nt
Filed under: soil metagenome
Description: partial contains 5.8S ribosomal RNA, internal transcribed spacer 2, and large subunit ribosomal RNA
Rfam family: 5.8S ribosomal RNA (bases 1-120)
Source: RNAcentral